Long non-coding RNA from Oncorhynchus keta (chum salmon), 542 nucleotides. RefSeq lists it as uncharacterized. The transcript has 4 exons. Lineage: Eukaryota; Metazoa; Chordata; Actinopteri; Salmoniformes; Salmonidae. The record is from RefSeq and is a predicted model, not a curated record.
GGUUUAGUGACUCCACUACAUCACUGGGUGAACCGGUCAUUAUCUGGAGGUUUAGUGACUCCACUACAUCACUGGGUGAAACGGUCAUUAUCUGGAGGUUUAGUGACUCCACUACAUCACUGGGUGAACCGGUCAUUAUCUGGAGGUUUAGUGACUCCACUACAUCACUGGGUGAAACGGUCAUUAUCUGGAGGUUUAGUGACUCCACUACAUCACUGGGUGAAAGUCAUUAUCUGGAGGUUUAGUGACUCCACUACAUCACUGGGUGAAACGGUCAUUAUCUGGAGGUUUAGUGACUCCACUACAUCACUGGGUGAAACGGUCAUUAUCUGGAGGUUUAGUGACUCCACUACAUCACUGGGUGAACCGGUCAUUAUCUGGAGGUUUAGUGACUCCACUACAUCACUGGGUGAAACGGUCAUUAUCUGGAGGUUUAGUGACUCCACUACAUCACUGGGUGAACCGGUCAUUAUCUGGAGGUUUAGUGACUCCACUACAUCACUGGGUGAAACGGUCAUUAUCUGGAGGUUUAGUGACUCCAC